GAUGAACGCUGGCGGCGUGCCUAAUACAUGCAAGUCGAGCGAACGGACGAGAAGCUUGCUUCUCUGAUGUUAGCGGCGGACGGGUGAGUAACACGUGGAUAACCUACCUAUAAGACUGGGAUAACUUCGGGAAACCGGAGCUAAUACCGGAUAAUAUUUUGAACCGCAUGGUUCAAAAGUGAAAGACGGUCUUGCUGUCACUUAUAGAUGGAUCCGCGCUGCAUUAGCUAGUUGGUAAGGUAACGGCUUACCAAGGCAACGAUGCAUAGCCGACCUGAGGGGGGGGAUGGCCAAACCGGAACCGGAGACAGGGCCCAGACUCCUAGGGGGGCAGGAGGAAGGGAUUCUUCCGAAUGGGGCGAAACCUUACCGGGGAAACCCGGGGGGGGUAUGAAGGUCUUCGGGAUCGAAAACCCCGGUAAUAGGGAAAAAACAAAUUGGAAGGAAACGGUGAACUUUUGAAGGUACCUAAUCAGAAAGCCACGGCUAACUACGUG
RNAcentral lists this ribosomal RNA (497 nucleotides) under uncultured bacterium. Its description in RNAcentral is "partial 16S ribosomal RNA". It matches the Rfam family "Bacterial small subunit ribosomal RNA", at positions 28 to 507 of the family's 1533-position model. The record is from RNAcentral.